Molecule: ribosomal RNA, 253 nt
Filed under: uncultured bacterium
Lineage: Bacteria
Description: partial 16S ribosomal RNA
Rfam family: Bacterial small subunit ribosomal RNA
Source: RNAcentral
UACAGAGGGGGCAAGCGUUGUUCGGAAUUACUGGGCGUAAAGGGCGCGUAGGCGGCCUGGUCAGUCGGAUGUGAAAGCCCGGGGCUCAACCCCGGAACGGCAUCCGAGACGGCCAGGCUGGAGACCGGGAGAGGAGAGUGGAAUAGCCAGUGUAGAGGUGAAAUUCGUAGAUAUUGGCUGGAACACCGGUGGCGAAAGCGGCUCUCUGGCCCGGUUCUGACGCUGAGGCGCGAAAGCGUGGGGAGCAAACAGG